This 433-nucleotide ribosomal RNA is filed under the name uncultured bacterium. RNAcentral describes it as "partial 16S ribosomal RNA". It matches the Rfam family "Bacterial small subunit ribosomal RNA", at positions 29 to 507 of the family's 1533-position model. The record is from RNAcentral.
AACGAACGCUGGCGGCAUGCCUAACACAUGCAAGUCGAACGAGACCUUCGGGUAUAGUGGCGCACGGGUGCUUCACGCGUGGGAACCUGCCCUUAGGUUCGCAAUAACUCCCCGAAAGGGGUGCUAAUACCGGCUAAUGUCUUCUGACCAAAGGUUAAUCGCCUUUGGGUUGUUCCGAGUUGGAUUCCUUUGUUGGUAGGGUAAAAGCCUACUAAGGAGAAGACCCAUCACUGGUAUGGUGGGAUGAUCAAGAACACUGGGACUGAGACAAGGCCCAGACUCCGACGGGAGGAAGAAGUGGGGAAGAAUGGACAAUGGGCGAAAGACUGAGCCAGCAAUGCCGUGUGGGUGAUGAAGGCCUUAGGGUAGUAAAGCGAUUUUACAGGGGAAGAAAAUGACAGUACCAGGAGAAUAAGCACCGGCUAACUCCGUG